RNAcentral lists this ribosomal RNA (158 nucleotides) under Lodderomyces metapsilosis. RNAcentral's name for it is "Candida metapsilosis 5.8S ribosomal RNA". It matches the Rfam family "5.8S ribosomal RNA". From Rfam's summary of the family: 5.8S ribosomal RNA (5.8S rRNA) is a component of the large subunit of the eukaryotic ribosome. It is transcribed by RNA polymerase I as part of the 45S precursor that also contains 18S and 28S rRNA. Lineage: Eukaryota; Fungi; Ascomycota; Pichiomycetes; Serinales; Debaryomycetaceae. The record is from RNAcentral.
AAACUUUCAACAACGGAUCUCUUGGUUCUCGCAUCGAUGAAGAACGCAGCGAAAUGCGAUAAGUAAUAUGAAUUGCAGAUAUUCGUGAAUCAUCAAAUCUUUGAACGCACAUUGCGCCCUUUGGUAUUCCAAAGGGCAUGCCUGUUUGAGCGUCAUUU